AUUGAACGCUGGCGGCAGGCCUAACACAUGCAAGUCGAGCGGAUGAAGGGAGCUUGCUCCUGGAUUCAGCGGCGGACGGGUGAGUAAUGCCUAGGAAUCUGCCUGGUAGUGGGGGAUAACGUCCGGAAACGGGCGCUAAUACCGCAUACGUCCUGAGGGAGCAAGUGGGGGAUCUUCGGACCUCACGCUAUCAGAUGAGCCUAGGGCGGAUUAGCUAGUUGGUGGGGUAAAGGCCUACCAAGGCGACGAUCCGUAACUGGUCUGAGAGGAUGAUCAGUCACACUGGAACUGAGACACGGUCCAGACUCCUACGGGAGGCAGCAGUGGGGAAUAUUGGACAAUAGGCGAAAGCCUGAUCCAGCCAUGCCGCGUGUGUGAAGAAGGUCUUCGGAUUGUAAAGCACUUUAAGUUGGGAGGAAGGGCAGUAAGUUAAUACCUUGCUGUUUUGACGUUACCAACAGAAUAAGCACCGGCUAACUUCGUG
Molecule: ribosomal RNA, 484 nt
Filed under: uncultured bacterium
Lineage: Bacteria
Description: partial 16S ribosomal RNA
Rfam family: Bacterial small subunit ribosomal RNA
Source: RNAcentral